CUACCUUAAACUAAUGAGUAAGGAAAAUAACAAGCUUGGGAUGAUGCCUGGUUCCUCACUACUCAUGUGAGAAGAAUUUUUGUAUGGAUAAAGAUCACCCCCUGAAGGACUCACCUACUUGCAUGAGAUCUCUAGGUGCAGUGAUUUGUCCA
Molecule: small nuclear RNA, 152 nt
Filed under: Leptobrachium leishanense (Leishan spiny toad)
Lineage: Eukaryota; Metazoa; Chordata; Amphibia; Anura; Megophryidae
Description: U12 minor spliceosomal RNA (ENSLLEG00000016856.1)
Rfam family: U12 minor spliceosomal RNA
About the family: Although the U12 sequence is very divergent from that of U2, the two are functionally analogous.
Source: Rfam by way of RNAcentral